This 253-nucleotide ribosomal RNA is filed under the name uncultured bacterium. RNAcentral describes it as "partial 16S ribosomal RNA". It matches the Rfam family "Bacterial small subunit ribosomal RNA", at positions 524 to 776 of the family's 1533-position model. The record is from RNAcentral.
UACGUAGGGUGCGAGCGUUAAUCGGAAUUACUGGGCGUAAAGCGUGCGCAGGCGGUUAUGCAAGACAGAUGUGAAAUCCCCGGGCUCAACCUGGGAACUGCAUUUGUGACUGCAUGACUAGAGUACGGCAGAGGGGGAUGGAAUUCCGCGUGUAGCAGUGAAAUGCGUAGAUAUGCGGAGGAACACCGAUGGCGAAGGCAAUCCCCUGGGCCUGUACUGACGCUCAUGCACGAAAGCGUGGGGAGCAAACAGG